GGCUGGUCCAAAGGUAGUGAGUUAUCUCACUUGAUUAUUCAGAGUCAGUUAUAGAUUAAACUCUUUGUUCUACUCUUUGCCCCCUGCUCACUACUGCACUUGACUCAUCUUAA
Unclassified non-coding RNA from Otolemur garnettii (small-eared galago), 113 nucleotides. It matches the Rfam family "Y RNA". From Rfam's summary of the family: Y RNAs are components of the Ro ribonucleoprotein particle (Ro RNP), in association with Ro60 and La proteins. The Y RNAs and Ro60 and La proteins are well conserved, but the function of the Ro RNP is not known. In humans the RNA component can be one of four small RNAs -- hY1, hY3, hY4 and hY5. NCBI's taxonomy places the organism in Eukaryota, Metazoa, Chordata, Mammalia, Primates, Galagidae. The record is from Ensembl.